GGAGAUAUUUCUCAAAAGACUCCUCUGCGGGAGAGGAGAAUAGCUGUACUCUAAGCAGUUCGCAGGGAGCAUCUUUCAGCAGCUGAAACAGCUUUGCGGCCUUGCUGUAAUGAAGAUCUGCCAGCACCCGGUGUUGUUUCCUAAGGUGUUCAUCACCAACCUAGAACCAAACCAAAACAAGCAACAAAUCCUUCACGAGAAAGAAAGAAAACAACUGUGUAAGCAGACAUCAGUGUAAACCUUAGCACUGUCUCUUGAUGAGAUAAGAGGAGGAUGGCAGUGACAGGAGUGUGGUGGCGAGCCAGUCACCUGCAGUCAACCACGGCUCAUUGCUCUCACCAUGCCUGUUACAUGAAGUUUCAGGCAUCCACUGGGGAUCUUGGAACGCAUCCUCCAAGGAUAAGUGGGGUCUACUGUACAACACUUAAGUAUAACCCUCUUCACUAUUAACCAAAUGAUAUUAAAAUAAGCAAAGAAAAA
This 480-nucleotide long non-coding RNA is filed under the name Homo sapiens (human). RNAcentral describes it as "EDRF1 antisense RNA 1". The record is from RNAcentral. Lineage: Eukaryota; Metazoa; Chordata; Mammalia; Primates; Hominidae.